AGUGAACGCUGGCGGUAGGCCUAACACAUGCAAGUCGAACGGCAGCACAGUAAGAGCUUGCUCUUACGGGUGGCGAGUGGCGGACGGGUGAGUAAUACAUCGGAAUCUACUUUUUCGUGGGGGAUAACGUAGGGAAACUUACGCUAAUACCGCAUACGACCUACGGGUUAAAGCAGGUGAUCUUCGGACCUUGCGCGAUUGAAUGAGCCGAUGUCGGAUUAGCUAGUUGGCGGGGUAAAGGCCCACCAAGGCGACGAUCCGUAGCUGGUCUGAGAGGAUGAUCAGCAACACUGGAACUGAGACACGGUCCAGACUCCUACGGGAGGCAGCAGUGGGGAAUAUUGGACAAUGGGCGCAAGCCUGAUCCAGCCAUACCGCGUGGGUGAAGAAGGCCUUCGGGUUGUAAAGCCCUUUUGUUGGGAAAGAAAAGCAGCAGGUUAAUACCCCGCUGUUCUGACGGUACCCAAAGAAUAAGCACCGGCUAACUUCGUG
Molecule: ribosomal RNA, 492 nt
Filed under: uncultured bacterium
Lineage: Bacteria
Description: partial 16S ribosomal RNA
Rfam family: Bacterial small subunit ribosomal RNA
Source: RNAcentral